AAGUCGUAACAAGGUUUCCGUAGGUGAACCUGCGGAAGGAUCAUUACCGAUUAUAGCGAGCCUCGGUCGCUUCUGACCUGAGGUAUCGUGAAACCUGUAUUUAAAACCCACUCUUAAUAAAAAUUUAUUGUAUCAAUUAUGAUGAUAAUAUAAAGAUCACUUUCAACAACGGAUCUCUUGGCUCUC
Molecule: unclassified non-coding RNA, 186 nt
Filed under: fungal sp.
Lineage: Eukaryota; Fungi
Description: partial internal transcribed spacer region
Rfam family: Eukaryotic small subunit ribosomal RNA (bases 1-46)
Source: RNAcentral